RNAcentral lists this ribosomal RNA (227 nucleotides) under Blastobotrys proliferans. Its description in RNAcentral is "partial 28S ribosomal RNA". It matches the Rfam family "Eukaryotic large subunit ribosomal RNA", at positions 1 to 225 of the family's 3401-position model. Lineage: Eukaryota; Fungi; Ascomycota; Dipodascomycetes; Dipodascales; Trichomonascaceae. The record is from RNAcentral.
GUUGACCUCAAAUCAGGUAAGACUACCCGCUGAACUUAAGCAUAUCAAUAAGCGGAGGAAAAGAAACCAACAGGGAUUGCCUCAGUAACGGCGAGCGAAGCGGCAAAAGCUCAAAUUUGAAAUCUGGCUCCUUUGGAGUCCGAGUUGUAAUUGAAGAAGGCAUCUUUGGUAGUGGCUCUUGCAUAUGUUCCUUGGAAUAGGACGUCAUAGAGGGUGAGAACCCCGUA